This 405-nucleotide ribosomal RNA is filed under the name uncultured bacterium. RNAcentral's name for it is "partial 16S ribosomal RNA". It matches the Rfam family "Bacterial small subunit ribosomal RNA", at positions 28 to 526 of the family's 1533-position model. The record is from RNAcentral.
GAUGAACGCUGGCGGCGUGCCUAAUACAUGCAAGUCGAGCGAAGCGGGGACGGGUGAGUAACACGUGGAUAACCUCCUAUAAGACUGGGAUAACUUCGGGAAACCGGAGCUAAACCGGAUACUUAUCGAUGGAUCCGCGCUGCAUUAGCUAGUUGGUAAGGUAACGGCUUACCAAGGCAACGAUGCAUAGCCGACCUGAGAGGUUGAUCGGCCACACUGGAACUGAGACAAGGGCCAGACUCCUACGGGAGGCAGCAGUAGGGAAGCUUACUCAAUGGGCGAAAGCCUGACGGAGCAACGCCGCGUGAGAGAUGAAGGUCUUCGGAUCGUAAAACUCUGGUAUUAGGGAAGGGGUAACCAAUAAGAAAGCCACGGCGAACUCCGUGCAAGCAGCCGCGGUAAUAC